Long non-coding RNA from Sinocyclocheilus rhinocerous, 490 nucleotides. RefSeq lists it as uncharacterized. Lineage: Eukaryota; Metazoa; Chordata; Actinopteri; Cypriniformes; Cyprinidae. The record is from RefSeq and is a predicted model, not a curated record. The transcript is spliced from 3 exons.
GUGGAACAGUAAAGGUGAUUGGGAACAGGUGGUCCAAUUAAUUACUGGCCAGCACGAGCACACCCGCCAAGUUUGGGAGGAAAAUAAAUGAGCAUGCCAAAAUACAGAUUUAAUGAGAGGAGAGAGACACAAACAUUGAGCUCUACAGGACAACGCAUCGAGCCCUUAAUAGACAGUAAGCACCCCACUGUCCAAACAGCAACUAGCAGCAAUAACAUCUGCUCCCUGUGGAGCCUACAUGAACCAUGCAGAGGGUUUGAUGGCAUCAAACCUUCACACUUCCCUCAAGGGACAGCAGUCGAUUUCUGAGAGAUUGGUCUUCAGGAUGAACUUCUGAGGAAACCCACCAACCAGCCAAUUACGGUGAUUACAGAUUGAGUUUUUGUGAGAUUGUCUUUCUGACGUCCAGCCUUUCAUAUUACACUCCUGGCUCUUGGCUACUAAUACAUCAGCAUGCAUUGGGAAACCUCCAAAUGAUGCAUAGUCACUC